RNAcentral lists this ribosomal RNA (494 nucleotides) under uncultured bacterium. Its description in RNAcentral is "partial 16S ribosomal RNA". It matches the Rfam family "Bacterial small subunit ribosomal RNA", at positions 28 to 507 of the family's 1533-position model. The record is from RNAcentral.
GACGAACGCUGGCGGCGUGCUUAACACAUGCAAGUCGAACGGUGAAGCCCCUUCCUUUUUGGUGGGUGUGGAUGAGUGGCGAACGGGUGAGUAACACGUGAGUAACCUGCCCCCUUCUUCUGGAUAACCGCAUGAAAUUGUGUCUAAUACGGGAUAUUCUGGCUCUGUCUCAUGAUGGGUCUGGGUAAGAUAUUGUUUCGGUGGGGGAUUGGCUCGCGGCCUAUCAGCUUGUUGGUGGGGUGAUUGCCUACCAAGGCGGUGACUGGUAGCCGGCCUGGGAGGGUGGAAGGUCAGACUGGGAAUGAGACACGGCCAAGACGCGUACGGGAGGCAGCCGUGGGGAAUACUGGACAAUGGGGGGAAGAAUGAUGGAGCGAGGGCGCGUGAGGGAUGGGGGCAUUCGGGUUGUGAAACUAUUUCGCCAGGGAAGCAGGGCUGCCUCGUUUGUGAGUGGGUUGACGGUAGCUGGAUAAGAAGCGCCGGCUAACUACGUG